This 25-nucleotide microRNA is filed under the name Canis lupus familiaris (dog). RNAcentral's name for it is "cfa-miR-8839". The record is from miRBase by way of RNAcentral. Lineage: Eukaryota; Metazoa; Chordata; Mammalia; Carnivora; Canidae.
UAAUUGGCAGAGCCAGGAUUCAAGC